AGAGACAGGUUGUUUGUGUUAUUAUGCACUUUAUUUCGUUCGUUAAGGAAUCUAUCAUACAAGAAGAGAAAUUGGGAAAAAUGUGUAUUGCGGAAAUCAGCAGUUAAACAAUAAAUCUGUAGGCAACAAGUGGAAGAACGGCAGAACUCAAGCAUCCUAAAGGCAACAAGGGGAAGAACACAACUGUGUAUUGUGCCAGAACUCAAGGGGAAGCACCCAUGGCAACAAUACCCAACUGCGUAUUACGCCAGAACUCAAGGGGGAGCACCCAAACUAAAUCCGAAGGCAACAACAACUG
Molecule: unclassified non-coding RNA, 298 nt
Filed under: Hevea brasiliensis (rubber tree)
Lineage: Eukaryota; Viridiplantae; Streptophyta; Magnoliopsida; Malpighiales; Euphorbiaceae
Source: RNAcentral